RNAcentral lists this ribosomal RNA (211 nucleotides) under uncultured bacterium. RNAcentral's name for it is "partial 16S ribosomal RNA". It matches the Rfam family "Bacterial small subunit ribosomal RNA", at positions 524 to 732 of the family's 1533-position model. The record is from RNAcentral.
UACGUAGGGCGCAAGCGUUGUCCGGAAUUAUUGGGCGUAAAGAGCUCGUAGGCGGCCUGUUACGUCUGCUGUGAAAUCCCGGGGCUUAACCCCGGGCGUGCAGUGGAUACGGGCAGGCUGGAGGCAGGCAGGGGAGAACGGAAUUCCCGGUGGUAGCGGUGGAAAUGCGCAGAUAUCGGGAGGAACACCGGUGGCGAAGGCGGUUCUCUGG